Egretta garzetta (little egret) is the source of this 1552-nucleotide long non-coding RNA. RefSeq lists it as uncharacterized. Lineage: Eukaryota; Metazoa; Chordata; Aves; Pelecaniformes; Ardeidae. The transcript is spliced from 3 exons. The record is from RefSeq and is a predicted model, not a curated record.
GGGGCUGGUGAGGCGCGAUGAUGGCUGUGCGGUGUGAUGGUGGCGCGGCAGCUUGCAUUUAGUUUCCCAGCAAAGUGUUGCGUUCGCAUGUGGAGGGCAACGCCUGCGGUGCACGCGUUUUAAAAUAAAACCUAAUCGUCUUUGGCACAGAGAGCACUUGCGUUUCCUUCAAGGACUGAGGCUCUUGCUAUCAAGAGUUUGCUCUUUCUAUCUCAUUUUUUUAUCUCCCCCAGACUGUGUUUCAGCUCCCCAGCGCUUCGUUAUGCUUCCUUUUCUUGUGACUGCAGGGAGAGCUGCUAUGGGUGUUGCAAUCGCUCCAGCUUUAGUGCUUUCAACAAGUCUCAGCUCUUCCUGUUUCUAGCAGGUCUUGGUGUCCGAGCAUGAAGCUUUACCUGGAGGAAAGACUCUUGCAGCUUCGUAUGUGUUUCUAGCAAGGACAUACUCAUGCCACGGGGCUCUUCCUGCCCUUUUUUCAUAAGGACCUGUUGCACAUCCAGGAUAAAAUGCGGGAAAUUCCCUGUCUCCAUUUGCAGAGGCAAACACAGGCUGGGGAGCUGGCACACACGGAUACUUGGUGUCCACAGGGGUCUGUGGCAGGCUGAAACACUAUAUCUGGGAAAUAUGAAAUGCUUCAUUCAUCAAUAAGAGCUAGUAACUCUUGCUUCUGAGUGUUUUAAACGUCAGCGUGAACUCUGUCACCGCUGAUCAAAGUGGAGAAGGGUAAUGGCAUUGGAAGCUGAUCUGCUUCGUCUUGAGUACAUGGUGCUUUGAAAAAGGCAAGUCUGAAACACUGAGAAGAACCCAUGUGGCUUCUUUUCUUUCUUCAACUCUUGUAAGUAUCAAUAGAACUCGAUUUGGGAGCAGAGAAGAUUCCUCUUGUUUCUUUUUUUGCUGCUAGGAACUAAACUUAAACAGCUGAUAGAAUUAUUCACGUUUUCCUGUUCCUCUCAGAGGGGAAUGUGACUGUCAAAUCACUUGGAGCAACUUCCUGUGAUCACAAGACUGAGCUCUGGGUGCAUACUCAUCGCUUUUCCAUGUGCCCUGCUUUAUGACACUCAAACUACAUGCUUAAUUUUAAGGCUUUUUUCCCCUCUUUGCCUGCCUUUGGUAUUUUCUGCAUGGGUAGUUAGUAAUAACAAGCAAUGGAAACUGUGUGUGGAAGAAAAUAGUUUCUAUUAAUAGAGAAAAUAAGAAAGAAACCAUUCUCUGUCUGUUUCAGAAAGCUGCUCUGUCAAUUUAAAAAUCAAGUGAGAUUACGUCCAAACUCUGCAUUCAUGCAGGCAUGAAAACGGAGACCAGUUUAAAUUAGGAGGGACACAUAAGGUCUUUGGUCAAGCCCUGGCUCAAAACAGAGCCAAGCCUGGAGUCAGAGACAACUUUGCAGUUGGGUCAUGCUUCUGCAUCCAGUUGAAAUUGCCACAUUCCGACAUGGAGAACUGAGCCCUUGCUGCAGUGUUUGACCACUCUCAAGAGAACGAGGAACCCUGGGGGACGCCCUGCACUCAGCUGCUUGUCUCUGUUGCCACGCCAGGCUGUGAUGGGUUUCCCAGCC